This 472-nucleotide ribosomal RNA is filed under the name Neisseria pharyngis. RNAcentral describes it as "bacterial SSU rRNA". It matches the Rfam family "Bacterial small subunit ribosomal RNA", at positions 30 to 491 of the family's 1533-position model. Lineage: Bacteria; Pseudomonadati; Pseudomonadota; Betaproteobacteria; Neisseriales; Neisseriaceae. The record is from RNAcentral.
UUGAACGCUGGCGGCAUGCUUUACACAUGCAAGUCGGACGGCAGCACAGAGAAGCUUGCUUCUUGGGUGGCGAGUGGCGAACGGGUGAGUAACAUAUCGGAACGUACCGAGCAGUGGGGGAUAACUAAUCGAAAGAUUAGCUAAUACCGCAUAUAUUCUGAGGAAGAAAGCAGGGGACCAUUUGGCCUUGCGCUGUUUGAGCGGCCGAUAUCUGAUUAGCUAGUUGGUGGGGUAAAGGCCUACCAAGGCGACGAUCAGUAGCGGGUCUGAGAGGAUGAUCCGCCACACUGGGACUGAGACACGGCCCAGACUUCUACGGGAGGCAGCAGUGGGGAAUUUUGGACAAUGGGCGCAAGCCUGAUCCAGCCAUGCCGCGUGUCUGAAGAAGGGCUUCGGGUUGUAAAGGACUUUUGUCAGGGAAGAAAAGGAUAGGGUUAAUACCCCUGUCUGAUGACGUACCUGAAGAAUAACC